CCUACGGGUGGCAGCAGUGGGGAAUAUUGCACAAUGGGGGAAACCCUGAUGCAGCGACGCCGCGUGAGUGAAGAAGUAUUUCGGGAUGUAAAGAUCUAUCAGCAGGGAAGAAGAAAGACGGUACCAGACGAAGAAGCACCGGCUAACUACGUGCCAGCAGCCGCGGUAAUAAGGAGGGGGCAAGCGUGAUCCGGAUUAACGGGGAGUAAAGGGAGCGUAGAAGGCUGGUCAAGUCGGAAGUGAAAGCCCCGGGCUCAACCCUGGGACUGCUUUGGAAACUGUGGAGCUAGAGUGCUGGAGAGGUAAGUGGACUUCCUAGUGUAGCGGUGAAAUGCGUAGAUAUUAGGAGGAACACCAGUGGCGAAGGCGGCUUACUGGACAGUACCUGACGUUGAGGCUCGAAAGCGUGGGUAGCAAACAGGAUUAGAUACCCCUGUAGUC
Molecule: ribosomal RNA, 441 nt
Filed under: uncultured bacterium
Lineage: Bacteria
Description: partial 16S ribosomal RNA
Rfam family: Bacterial small subunit ribosomal RNA
Source: RNAcentral